RNAcentral lists this ribosomal RNA (459 nucleotides) under uncultured bacterium. RNAcentral describes it as "partial 16S ribosomal RNA". It matches the Rfam family "Bacterial small subunit ribosomal RNA", at positions 338 to 795 of the family's 1533-position model. The record is from RNAcentral.
CCUACGGGCGGCUGCAGUGAGGAAUAUUGGUCAAUGGGAGAGAUCCUGAACCAGCCAAGCCGCGUGAGGGAAGACGGCCCUAUGGGUUGUAAACCUCUUUUGACGGAGAACAAAACCCGGGACGAGUCCCGGACUGCGUGUAUCCGAAGAAAAAACAUCGGCUAACUCCGUGCCAGCAGCCGCGGUAAUACGGGGGAUGCGGGCGUUAUCCGGAUGGAUUGGGUUUAAAGGGUGCGUAGGCGGUCCGUUAAGUCAGCGGUAAAAUGGCGGGGCUCAACCCCGUCGAGCCGUGGAGACUGGCAGACGUGAGUUGGCGAGAAGUACGCGGAAUGCGCGGUGUAGCGGUGAAAUGCGUAGAUAUAUGGAAGAACACCAGUGGCGAAAGCGGCUCUCUGGUCUGUAACUGACGCUGAGGUUCGAAAGCGUGGGUAGCAAACAGGAUUAGAUACCCGUGUAGUC